GAAGCCCAGCUUGCUGGGUGGAUCAGUGGCGAACGGGUGAGUAACACGUGAGCAAUCUGCCCCUGACUCUGGGAUAAGCGCUGGAAACGGCGUCUAAUACCGGAUACGAGCUGCGGCCGCAUGGUCGGCAGUUGGAAAGAUUUUUCGGUCAGGGAUGAGCUCGCGGCCUAUCAGCUUGUUGGUGAGGUAAUGGCUCACCAAGGCGUCGACGGGUAGCCGGCCUGAGAGGGUGACCGGCCACACUGGGACUGAGACACGGCCCAGACUCCUACGGGAGGCAGCAGUGGGGAAUAUUGCACAAUGGGCGGAAGCCUGAUGCAGCAACGCCGCGUGAGGGAUGACGGCCUUCGGGUUGUAAACCUCUUUUAGCAGGGAAGAAGCGAAAGUGACGGUACCUGCAGAAAAAGCGCCGGCUAACUACGUGCCAGCAGCCGCGGUAAUACGUAGGGCGCAAGCGUUAUCCGGAAUUAUUGGGCGUAAAGAGCUCGUAGGCGGUCUGUCGCGUCUGCUGUGAAAUCCCGAGGCUCAACCUCGGGUCUGCAGUGGGUACGGGCAGACUAGAGUGCGGUAGGGGAGAUUGGAAUUCCUGGUGUAGCGGUGGAAUGCGCAGAUAUCAGGAGGAACACCGAUGGCGAAGGCAGAUCUCUGGGCCGUAACUGACGCUGAGGAGCGAAAGGGUGGGGAGCAAACAGGCUUAGAUACCCUGGUAGUCCACCCCGUAAACGUUGGGAACUAGUUGUGGGGUCCAUUCCACGGAUUCCGUGACGCAGCUAACGCAUUAAGUUCCCCGCCUGGGGAGUACGGCCGCAAGGCUAAAACUCAAAGGAAUUGACGGGGACCCGCACAAGCGGCGGAGCAUGCGGAUUAAUUCGAUGCAACGCGAAGAACCUUACCAAGGCUUGACAUAUAGAGGAAACGUCUGGAAACAGUCGCCCCGCAAGGUCUCUAUACAGGUGGUGCAUGGUUGUCGUCAGCUCGUGUCGUGAGAUG
Molecule: ribosomal RNA, 990 nt
Filed under: Microbacterium radiodurans
Lineage: Bacteria; Bacillati; Actinomycetota; Actinomycetes; Micrococcales; Microbacteriaceae
Description: bacterial SSU rRNA
Rfam family: Bacterial small subunit ribosomal RNA
Source: RNAcentral